This 342-nucleotide ribosomal RNA is filed under the name Aiolochroia crassa. RNAcentral's name for it is "partial 28S ribosomal RNA". It matches the Rfam family "Eukaryotic large subunit ribosomal RNA", at positions 23 to 378 of the family's 3401-position model. The record is from RNAcentral. Lineage: Eukaryota; Metazoa; Porifera; Demospongiae; Verongiida; Aplysinidae.
ACCCGCUGAAUUUAAGCAUAUUAAUAAGCGGAGGAAAAGAAACUAACCAGGAUUCCCCCAGUAGCGGCGAGUGAAGCGGGAAAGCCCAAGCCUGUAAUCUCCGCGAAUUGUAGUCUGGAGAAGGGCCUCACUGCGCGGUCCUCCCGAAGUUGCCGAGGAAAGGCGCGCCGGAGAGGGUGAUAGCCCCGUGCACAGGAGAGACCGACUGUGGGAGGCCUCUUCGGAGAGUCGGGUUGUUUGGGAUUGCAGCCCAAAGUGGGUGGUGAACUCCAUCUAAGGCUAAAUACUGGCACAAGACCGAUAGCGAACAAGUACCGUGAGGGAAAGAUGAAAAGCACUUUG